Molecule: ribosomal RNA, 779 nt
Filed under: uncultured Neocallimastigales
Lineage: Eukaryota; Fungi; Neocallimastigomycota; Neocallimastigomycetes; Neocallimastigales
Description: partial large subunit ribosomal RNA
Rfam family: Eukaryotic large subunit ribosomal RNA
Source: RNAcentral
UAUCUCUGUAGAGUCUGCAUAUCAAUAAGCGGAGGAAAAGAAACUAACAAGGAUUCCCUUAGUAACGGCGAGUGAAGCGGGAAGAGCUCAAAUUUGAAAUCUUCAAGGUUCUACCUUGACGAAUUGUAGUUUAAAGAAGUGUUUUCUGUUAGAGUGAGUAGCAAAAGUUCCUUGGAAUGGGACAUCAUAGAGGGUGAGAAUCCCGUAUUUGGUAUAUUCAUUCUAGCUUUGUGAUACACUUUCAAAGAGUCGGAUUGUUUGGGAAUGCAGUCCAAAAUGGGUGGUAAAUUUCAUCUAAAGCUAAAUAUUGGCGAGAGACCGAUAGCGAACAAGUACCGUGAGGGAAAGAUGAAAAGAACUUUGAAAAGAGAGUUAAACAGUACGUGAAAGUUGUCAAAAGAGGAAGCGUUUGACACCAGUGUUGUUUUUUCCGAAAAUCAAUUACGAAUGGCUUGAUUCUGUGUUGUAUUGACCUUAUCAGCUUUCUUCACUUUUUUCGAGUCUUUCUUAAUGCACUUUUCGGUUAACAAGUCAACAUCAAUUUCUUUUGUUGUAAAAGAGUAUUCGGAAGGUGGCUUUCUUUUCGGAGAAAGUGUUUAUAGCCCUAUACUUCUACAAUCGGAGAGAUUGAGGUCUGCAGCGUAGAUCCUUCGGGGUUAGAUACACUUGUGCUAAGUUGUAGCUUUUCAUAGACAACUUGUUGACUAUGUUUAGUCAUGCGGCUUACAUCGCUUGUGCUAUUUUACCUACGCUUAGGAUGUUGACGAGACUGUCGAUCU